RNAcentral lists this ribosomal RNA (253 nucleotides) under uncultured bacterium. RNAcentral's name for it is "partial 16S ribosomal RNA". It matches the Rfam family "Bacterial small subunit ribosomal RNA", at positions 524 to 776 of the family's 1533-position model. The record is from RNAcentral.
UACAGAGGUCUCAAGCGUUGUUCGGAUUUAUUGGGCGUAAAGAGCGUGUAGGCGGUUCGGUAAGUCUGUCGUGAAAUCCUGAGGCUCAACCUUGGACGUGCGAUGGAUACUGCCGGGCUAGAGGAUGGUAGAGGCGAGUGGAAUUCCCGGUGUAGCGGUGAAAUGCGCAGAUAUCGGGAGGAACACCAGUAGCGAAGGCGGCUCGCUGGGCCAUUCCUGACGCUGAGACGCGAAAGCUAGGGGAGCGAACAGG